This 510-nucleotide ribosomal RNA is filed under the name uncultured bacterium. Its description in RNAcentral is "bacterial SSU rRNA". It matches the Rfam family "Bacterial small subunit ribosomal RNA", at positions 55 to 561 of the family's 1533-position model. The record is from RNAcentral.
AUGCAAGUCGAACGGCAGCACGGGGGGCUUGCUCCCUGGUGGCGAGUGGCGGACGGGUGAGUAACGCGUAGGAAUCUAUCCUGUAGUGGGGGACAACCCGGGGAAACCCGGGCUAAUACCGCAUACGAUUUGAGGAUGAAAGCGGGUCUUUCGGGGCACGCGCUGUGGGGUGAGCCUGCGUCCGAUUAGCUAGUUGGUGGGGUAAAGGCCUACCAAGGCGACGAUCGGUAGCUGUUCUGAGAGGAUGAUCAGCCACACUGGGACUGAGACACGGCCCAGACUCCUACGGGAGGCAGCAGUGGGGAAUAUUGGACAAUGGGGGCAACCCUGAUCCAGCAAUGCCGCGUGUGUGAAGAAGGCCUGCGGGUUGUAAAGCACUUUCAGUGGGGAAGAGGGCGUGCGUGUAACGAGCGCAUGUUGACGUUACCCACAGAAGAAGCACCGGCUAACUCCGUGCCAGCAGCCGCGGUAAUACGGAGGGUGCGAGCGUUAAUCGGAAUUACUGGGCGU